This 653-nucleotide ribosomal RNA is filed under the name uncultured archaeon. Its description in RNAcentral is "bacterial SSU rRNA". It matches the Rfam family "Archaeal small subunit ribosomal RNA", at positions 1 to 634 of the family's 1478-position model. The record is from RNAcentral.
UUCCGGUUGAUCCCGCCGGACCCCACUGCUAUCGAGAUGGGACUAAGGUAUGCUAGUCGAACGACCAGAACUAUGUCUGUGAGUGGCAUACCGCUCAGUAACACGUAGCUAACCUACCCUUCGGACGAGGACAACCCCGAGAAAUUGGGGCUAAUCCUCGAUAGAUGUGAUGUCCUGGAAUGGUAUCACGUCUAAAGGUAUAUCAUACACGUUUGAUAUACGCCUAAGGAUGGGGCUGCGGCUGAUCAGGCAGUUGGUGAGGUAAUGGCUCACCAAACCAUUGACCAGUACGGGCCAUGAGAGUGGUAGCCCGGAGAUGGACACUGAGACAAGGGUCCAGGCCCUACGGGGCGCAGCAGGCGCGAAACCUCCUCAAUGCACUAACGUGCGAAGGGGUUACCUCGAGUGCUAUCUGAUGAAGGUGGCUUUUCCAUGGUUUAAAAAGCCUAGGGAAUAAGAGGGGGGCAAGACUGGUGUCAGCCGCCGCGGUAACACCAGCCCCUCGAGUGGUGGGGAUGAUUAUUUGGCCUAAAGCGUCCGUAGCUUGCCAGAAAAGUUUCCCGUUAAAUCCGACGUCUCAAGCGUUGGACCGCGGGAAAUACUAUCUGGCUAGAGAGUGGGAGAGGUUAGCGGUAUUCUGGGGGGUAGGGGCG